UCACCGCGACAUUCUGAUUCCAGAGAUUACUAGCAAUUCCAACUUCAUGCAGUGCCGAGUUGCAGCCUGCAAUCUGAACUGAGACCGGGUUUUGUGAUUCGCUCCACCUCACGGUAUCGCUGCACUUUGUUACCGGCCAUUGUAGUACGUGUGUAGCCCUGGGCAUAAGGGGCAUGAUGAUUUGACGUCGUCCCCACCUUCCUCCGAUUUGUCACCGGCAGUCUCGUCAGAGUGCCCAACUUAAUGAUGGCAACUGACAACAGGGGUUGCGCUCGUUGCGGGACUUAACCCAACAUCUCACGACACGAGCUGACGACAACCAUGCACCACCUGUCACCGACGUUCCGAAGAAAAACUCUAUCUCUAGAGCGGUCGUCGGGAUGUCAAGCCCAGGUAAGGUUCUUCGCGUUGCUUCGAAUUAAACCACAUACUCCACUGCUUGUGCGGGCCCCCGUCAAUUCCUUUGAGUUUCAACCUUGCGGUCGUACUCCCCAGGUGGGAUACUUAUUGUGUUAACUGCGGCACAGAAGGGGUCGAUACCUCCUACACCUAGUAUCCAUCGUUUACGGUGUGGACUACCAGGGUAUCUAAUCCUGUUUGCUCCCCACACUUUCGCGCCUCAGCGUCAGUUGUCGUCCAGAAAGCCGCCUUCGCCACUGGUGUUCCUCCUAAUAUCUACGCAUUUCACCGCUACACUAGGAAUUCCGCCUUCCUCUCGAU
This 720-nucleotide ribosomal RNA is filed under the name uncultured bacterium. RNAcentral's name for it is "partial 16S ribosomal RNA". The record is from RNAcentral.